Molecule: small RNA, 4421 nt
Filed under: Pan troglodytes (chimpanzee)
Lineage: Eukaryota; Metazoa; Chordata; Mammalia; Primates; Hominidae
Description: retained intron
Source: RNAcentral
CUGGUUUCUGCCCCCGAGAAAUUGCAGAAUGUAGCUUAGUUAGUCAUGUCUGUUCUGUUUUCUUCUCAUGCAGUUCCUAACUCUUGUCUUCUUUCGUAAUCUAAAAAAACCUGCUGCCCAGCUCCCAUGUCCUCUGCUUCUCUUGUCUUGUGUUGCUCCACCUGGCACAGCUGCAUGUCCAUGUUCCCCCCUCAGCGCAUCGCCUUGUUGCUGCCUCUGCGUGUGCAUGUGUUUGGGAUGGACGCACAAAAAGCCCUCCUCGUGGUCCUUCCAGCAAGCUGGGCUUCCCUUUACUGCACAGUGGGCAAGAUUCCUGCCUUGUUUCCUGAUGAUACGGCUUCUCCAGAGUUUGGGGGGCCGGGAACUCUUAACUUGGGGGUACUGGGUUCUAUCCAGAGAGGUUGACAGCAGAAGGGUUUGCAACAGCACUUGUCUUGCAGACACAGUGAAGUGCUCAGUGUAAAUCUGAGCCAACAGUAGAUGGGGUCUCUGGGCAGCAGCAUGGGCCCCACAAGGCUCUUAGGCGUCAGUGAGUGCUUUUGUGUGGAGUUAAUGUAUGUGGUUUUUUUAACUUGAGAAUAGUAGUUCCCAAACUUACUGCACAUUAGAAACACCUGGAAUCCUUCAAAUAUUCUGAAGCCCUGGCCAAUACCCCAGACGAGCUAAAUCCCAGACUGAGUGGCCCCAACCGUCAGUUAUUUGAAGGUCUCGGGGCAUUUCCAGCUUCUGGUCCAGGCUGAGAGCCUGUCCUCCAGAACCCUUGUGAUCCAGGUGAAGAUCAUAACUGGCCCCCAUUCUAGACAAUGGAGAUUUUUGUUUGGGAAGCUAAGCAUCGUUUUUGGUGAUGGGAAUCACGGAUAAGGUUAUUUAGCGCUUUAGCCCUGUCCUGCCCAGUUAUUAGUCAUUGGCAGAAUGUUGUUGGUCUGUGUCCUAAAUGUGUUUCCUUUUGUGUUCCUAAGUAAACAGAAUCAAAGACCAGUACAAGGUGUCCGUGCGCAUCCCUCCUGACAGUGAGAAGAGCAAUUUGAUCCGCAUCGAGGGGGACCCACAGGGCGUGCAGCAGGCCAAGCGAGAGCUGCUGGAGCUUGCAUCUCGCAUGGAAAAUGAGCGUACCAAGGAUCUAAUCAUUGAGCAAAGAUUUCAUCGCACAAUCAUUGGGCAGAAGGGUGAACGGAUCCGUGAAAUUCGUGACAAAUUCCCAGAGGUCAUCAUCAACUUUCCAGACCCAGCACAAAAAAGUGACAUUGUCCAGCUCAGAGGACCUAAGAAUGAGGUGGAAAAAUGCACAAAAUACAUGCAGAAGAUGGUGGCAGAUCUGGUGGAAAAUAGCUAUUCAAUUUCUGUUCCGAUCUUCAAACAGUUUCACAAGAAUAUCAUUGGGAAAGGAGGCGCAAACAUUAAAAAGAUUCGUGAAGAAAGCAACACCAAAAUCGACCUUCCAGCAGAGAAUAGCAAUUCAGAGACCAUUAUCAUCACAGGCAAGCGAGCCAACUGCGAAGCUGCCCGGAGCAGGAUUCUGUCUAUUCAGAAAGACCUGGCCAACAUAGCCGAGGUAGAGGUCUCCAUCCCUGCCAAGCUGCACAACUCCCUCAUUGGCACCAAGGGCCGUCUGAUCCGCUCCAUCAUGGAGGAGUGCGGCGGGGUCCACAUUCACUUUCCCGUGGAAGGUUCAGGAAGCGACACCGUUGUUAUCAGGGGCCCUUCUUCGGAUGUGGAGAAGGCCAAGAAGCAGCUCCUGCAUCUGGCGGAGGAGAAGCAAACCAAGAGUUUCACUGUUGACAUCCGCGCCAAGCCAGAAUACCACAAAUUCCUCAUCGGCAAGGGGGGCGGCAAAAUCCGCAAGGUGCGCGACAGCACUGGAGCACGUGUCAUCUUCCCUGCGGCUGAGGACAAGGACCAGGACCUGAUCACCAUCAUCGGAAAGGAGGACGCCGUCCGAGAGGCACAGAAGGAGCUGGAGGCCUUGAUCCAAAACCUGGUAGGGAGCGGGCCUCGGCGGCCGACUCUGCCGGGGCCGUGAUGGGGUGGCUUAUCUUCCGUCUCUUCUUAACGCUGCAGGAUAAUGUGGUGGAAGACUCCAUGCUGGUGGACCCCAAGCACCACCGCCACUUCGUCAUCCGCAGAGGCCAGGUCUUGCGGGAGAUUGCUGAAGAGUAUGGCGGGGUGAUGGUCAGCUUCCCACGCUCUGGCACACAGAGCGACAAAGUCACCCUCAAGGGCGCCAAGGACUGUGUGGAGGCAGCCAAGAAACGCAUUCAGGAGAUCAUUGAGGACCUGGAAGCUCAGGUGACAUUAGAAUGUGCUAUACCCCAGAAAUUCCAUCGAUCUGUCAUGGGCCCCAAAGGUUCCAGAAUCCAGCAGAUUACUCGGGAUUUCAGUGUUCAAAUUAAAUUCCCAGACAGAGAGGAGAACGCAGUUCACAGUACAGAGCCAGUUGUCCAGGAGAAUGGGGACGAAGCUGGGGAGGGGAGAGAGGCUAAAGAUUCUGACCCCGGCUCUCCAAGGAGGUGUGACAUCAUCAUCAUCUCUGGCCGGAAAGAAAAGUGUGAGGCUGCCAAGGAAGCUCUGGAGGCAUUGGUUCCUGUCACUAUUGAAGUAGAGGUGCCCUUUGACCUUCACCGUUACGUUAUUGGGCAGAAAGGAAGUGGGAUCCGCAAGAUGAUGGAUGAGUUUGAGGUAGACCCCUUUCCCGGGAGGCCAUGUCACAGGAGUGGCCUGUCGCAUCCUCUCCCGAGUGCCAGUGUCCUUUCUCAACUUCCUGUUGACUCUGCCUCCUCCUGCUCGGACUGGGCACUGACUUCCCUUCACGGCGGGUGGCCUUCCCUCUCACCACUUCUGGGUCCCAGGGCCAGUGGACUCUUUCCUGUUCUCUGGGGUCCUGAACGUCAAGUCAGCCCCCUCUUCACGUAGGUGAACAUACAUGUCCCGGCACCUGAGCUGCAGUCUGACAUCAUCGCCAUCACGGGCCUCGCUGCAAAUUUGGACCGGGCCAAGGCUGGACUGCUGGAGCGUGUGAAGGAGCUACAGGCCGAGCAGGAGGACCGGGCUUUAAGGAGUUUUAAGCUGAGUGUCACUGUAGACCCCAAAUACCAUCCCAAGAUUAUCGGGAGAAAGGGGGCAGUAAUUACCCAAAUCCGGUUGGAGCAUGACGUAAACAUCCAGUUUCCUGAUAAGGACGAUGGGAGCCAGCCCCAGGACCAAAUUACCAUCACAGGGUACGAAAAGAACACAGAAGCUGCCAGGGACGCUAUACUGAGAAUUGUGGGUGAACUUGAGCAGAUGGUUUCUGAGGACGUCCCACUGGACCACCGUGUUCACGCCCGCAUCAUUGGUGCCCGCGGCAAAGCCAUUCGCAAAAUCAUGGACGAAUUCAAGGUGGACAUUCGCUUCCCACAGAGCGGAGCCCCAGACCCCAACUGCGUCACUGUGACGGGGCUCCCAGAGAAUGUGGAGGAAGCCAUCGACCACAUCCUCAACCUGGAGGAGGAAUACGUGAGUCUCUGUGGGCCUUGGAGCCCUGAGGCGCCCUGGCACGUCCACCGGCCUGAGGCCCAGCCAGGAGCUUCAGGGGACAAGGUGGCACUUGUGUUUCCAGAGGCAGGCGAGGUGCAGGGGUGAGCAGGCGGGCGGGAUGCGGGGGGUGCUGGGCAGACUGACCCUGUCUUCCUGUCCUCUGCCUGCAGCUAGCUGACGUGGUGGACAGUGAGGCGCUGCAGGUAUACAUGAAACCCCCAGCACACGAAGAGGCCAAGGCACCUUCCAGAGGCUUUGUGGUGCGGGACGCACCCUGGACCGCCAGCAGCAGUGAGAAGGUCAGAUGCGGGCUUCUGCCCUCCUGGGUCCCAGGGAGGGUGGGCGGGCAGGCGGGCUUGGUGUCCCGAGGGUGGCAACUGCGUCGGAAGCUGCUUGCGAGUUGGGGAGCAUCCCCUCCUGAAGCCGUGUCCUCUCUCUGCACAGGCUCCUGACAUGAGCAGCUCUGAGGAAUUUCCCAGCUUUGGGGCUCAGGUGGCUCCCAAGACCCUCCCUUGGGGCCCCAAACGAUAAUGAUCAAAAAGAACAGAACCCUCUCCAGCCUGCUGACCCGAACCCAACCACACAAUGGUUUGUCUCAAUCUGACCCAGCGGCUGGACCCUCCGUAAAUUGUUGACGCUCUUCCCCCUUCCCGAGGUCCCACAGGGAGCCUAGCUCCUGGCUCUGUGUGCGGCCGCUCCUCCAGGCCUGGCCGUGCCCGCUCAGGACCUGCUCCACUGUUUAACACUAAACCAAGGUCAUGAGCAUUCGUGCUAAGAUAACAGACUCCAGCUCCUGGUCCACCCGGCAUGUCAGUCAGCACUCUGGCCUUCAUCACGAGAGCUCCGCAGCCGUGGCUAGGAUUCCACUUCCUGUGUCAUGACCUCAGGAAAUAAACGUCCUUGACUUU